RNAcentral lists this ribosomal RNA (253 nucleotides) under uncultured bacterium. Its description in RNAcentral is "partial 16S ribosomal RNA". It matches the Rfam family "Bacterial small subunit ribosomal RNA", at positions 524 to 776 of the family's 1533-position model. The record is from RNAcentral.
UACAGAGGGGGCAAGCGUUAUUCGGAAUCAUUGGGCGUAAAGAGCGUGUAGGCGGUCCGGUAAGUCGGCUGUGAAAGUCCAGGGCUCAACCCUGGGAUGCCGGUCGAUACUGCCGGACUAGAGUUCGGAAGAGGCGAGUGGAAUUCCCGGUGUAGCGGUGAAAUGCGCAGAUAUCGGGAGGAACACCUAUGGCGAAGGCAGCUCGCUGGGACGUUACUGACGCUGAGACGCGAAAGCGUGGGGAGCAAACAGG